GACGAACGCUGGCGGCGUGCUUAACACAUGCAAGUCGAACGGACAGGCCCGGCUCUUGUGCGGUGCUCGAUAGGCGAGGGGGGGAGUAACACGUGAGUAUACUGCACUUGAAUUUGGGAUAAAUUCACGGAACUGGGGCGCAUAUCGGGUAGGAGCUAUUGAUCCAUGGGGGGGGAUGGUAAGAUUCGGCGGUUGUGGCUGGACUAGCGGCUUAUCAGCUUGUUGGUGUGGUAGUGGCGGACAAAGGUUUUGACGGCUAGCCCGCCUGGGAGGGGGACCGGCCACAAUGGGACUGAGAGACGGAGCAGUCUGCUACGGGAGGCAGCAGUGGGGAACAUUGCACAACGGGCGGAAGCCUGAUGCAGCGGCGCCGCGUGCGUGAUGACCGGCUACGAGUUGUAAACCGCUUUCGCCUGUGCCGAAGCGUGAUUGACGGUAAUGGGUAAGGAAGCACCGGCUAACUACGUG
RNAcentral lists this ribosomal RNA (468 nucleotides) under uncultured bacterium. RNAcentral describes it as "partial 16S ribosomal RNA". It matches the Rfam family "Bacterial small subunit ribosomal RNA", at positions 28 to 507 of the family's 1533-position model. The record is from RNAcentral.